AGCAGUAGCCGCGGGAAUACCAGCACCUCGAGUGGUCAGGAGGUUUAUUGGGCCUAAAGCAUCCGUAGCCGGUUGCAUAAGUUUUCGGUUAAAUCUAUGCGCUUAACGUAUAGGCCGCCGAAAAUACUGUGCAGCUAGGGAGUGGGAGAGGUACACGGUACUCGAUAGGAAGGGGUAAAAUCCUUUGAUCUAUUGAUGACCACCUGUGGCGAAGGCGGUGUACCAGAACACGUUCGACGGUAAGGGAUGAAAGCUGGGGGAGCAAACCGGAUUAGAUACCCCAGUAGUCCCUGUCUCUUAUAC
RNAcentral lists this ribosomal RNA (303 nucleotides) under uncultured bacterium. Its description in RNAcentral is "partial 16S ribosomal RNA". It matches the Rfam family "Archaeal small subunit ribosomal RNA", at positions 457 to 760 of the family's 1478-position model. The record is from RNAcentral.